GUAGGUGGCAAGCGUUGUCCGGAAUUAUUGGGCGUAAAGCGCGCGCAGGCGGUUCUUUAAGUCUGAUGUGAAAGCCCACGGCUCAACCGUGGAGGGUCAUUGGAAACUGGAGAACUUGAGUACAGAAGAGGAAAGCGGAAUUCCACGUGUAGCGGUGAAAUGCGUAGAGAUGUGGAGGAACACCAGUGGCGAAGGCGGCUUUCUGGUCUGUAACUGACGCUGAGGCGCGAAAGCGUGGGGAGCAAACAGGAUUAGAUACCCUGGUAGUCCACGCCGUAAACGAUGAGUGCUAAGUGUUAGGGGGUUUCCGCCCCCCUUAGUGCUGCAGCUAACGCAUUAAGCACUCCGCCUGGGAGUACGGCCGCAGUGCUG
Molecule: ribosomal RNA, 372 nt
Filed under: uncultured organism
Description: partial 16S ribosomal RNA
Rfam family: Bacterial small subunit ribosomal RNA
Source: RNAcentral